RNAcentral lists this ribosomal RNA (253 nucleotides) under uncultured bacterium. Its description in RNAcentral is "partial 16S ribosomal RNA". It matches the Rfam family "Bacterial small subunit ribosomal RNA", at positions 524 to 776 of the family's 1533-position model. The record is from RNAcentral.
UACAGAGGGUGCAAGCGUUGUUCGGAAUUACUGGGCGUAAAGGGCGUGUAGGCGGCUUAACAAGUCAGAUGUGAAAUCUCAGGGCUUAACUCUGAAAGUGCAUUUGAAACUGUUAGGCUAGAGUGCUGUAGAGGUUGGCGGAAUACCCAGUGGAGAGGUGAAAUUCGUAGAUAUUGGGUGGAACACCGGUGGCGAAGGCGGCCAACUGGGCAGUAACUGACGCUGAGGCGCGAGAGCGUGGGGAGCAAACAGG